Spinacia oleracea (spinach) is the source of this 1264-nucleotide RNA transcript. It is a transcript of the gene named protein LPA3, with no coding region annotated. The record is from RefSeq and is a predicted model, not a curated record. The transcript is spliced from 10 exons. Lineage: Eukaryota; Viridiplantae; Streptophyta; Magnoliopsida; Caryophyllales; Amaranthaceae.
AAUAAAAAAAUAAAAAAGAAAAAGAAAAAAAAGACCACAAGUCCGGAAUUAUCAACAGAUAAUAUUGACCGUUACUCAUCUUUCUCUCUAGGAAAACAGAAUGCCGAUUUCCGGCGCCAAAAUCCCGACGGCAAUUCCAACUUACCCGCAUCCAACUGUUGGAAAAUGGCGAUUCUUUGAGAUUAACAACUUGUGUAAAAAUAGAGCUUUCAAAUCGAGGCAAAGUAACGGAAUUGCAAAAUUGAAGCUGAAAAGAAGCAUCAAUCAUCCUACUUUUGUAGCUUCUGCUUCUAAUGUUUCGAUUUCCGACACUUCUUUUCCGACAGAUUAUCCCGACCUUCUUCGCCAAGCGAAAGAAGCAACUGAAUCAGCAAUGCAGGACAAUAUACAGUUGAUGGAAAUUGAGUUCCCAACUUCUGGAUUAGACUCAGUGCCAGGUGAUGGUGAAGGUGGUAUAGAAAUGACUGGGAGCAUGCAGUUGAUCCGUGAGUUCUGUGACCGCCUUAUAGCUCCAGAAAAAGCCACUCGGACCAGGAUAUUUUUCCCAGAAGCCAAUGAAGUAACAUUUGCGAGAACAUCGGUUUUUGAAGGAGUUGCAUUAAAACUAGAUUACCUGACUAAGCCAUCCUUUUUUGAGGAUUUUGGUUUUGGUACAAAAGUCAAAAUGGCAGAUCGUGUUCAGCCAGAAGAUGAGCUUUUCCUAGUUGCAUACCCGUACUUCAAUGUCAAUGAGAUGCUUGUAGUGGAGGAACUUUAUAAAGAAGCAGUCGCCAACACUUCGAGGAAAUUGAUUGUUUUCAAUGGGGAGCUGGAUCGAAUAAGAUCUGGAUACUACCCAUCAUUCUUUUACCCCAAGUUGGCUGCACUUACCAAGACGUUGUUUCCAAAAAUGGAAACCGUGUAUUACAUCCAUAAUUUUAAAGGACGAAAUGGUGGAACUCUUUUCAGAUGUUAUCCCGGGCCUUGGCAGGUUCUUAGAAGGGCGGGAAAGAAGUAUAUAUGUGUACAUCAGCGAGAAACUAUGCCAUCCCUGAAGGAAGUUGCCUUGGAUAUCCUUCGACCUGUUUGAUCGUUGUGUCUGCUUUCAAGUAUCUUGUAUAUUGGGUCUUCUGGUCGUGAAAUCCAGGAAACCCAUAUUCAAGCAGCUGUAACAUGCUCAAAACAACUCGGAAUUCACCUAAGAAUCCGCAGUGGAGGCCAUGACUAUGAGGGUGUCUCUUAUGCAUCAGAAAUUGACCACCCUUUUAUCAUUAUAGACCUUGCC